AGUGAAUAGAUACCCCGGUAGUCCACGCUGUAGACGAUGGGUACUAGGCUUUGUGGGAAUAGACCCCUGCAGAGCCGGAGCUAACGCAAUAAGUACCCCGCCUGGGAAGUACGGUCGCAAGACUAAAACUCAAAGGAAUUGACGGGGGCCCGCACAAGCGGUGGAUCAUGUGGUUUAAAUUCGAAGCAACGCGCAAAACCUUACCUGGGUUUGACAUCCCCGGACAAACGUAGAAAUACGUCUUCGUAGCAAUACGACCGGGAGACAGGUGCUGCAUGGCUGUCGUCAGCUCGUGUGGUGACAUGUUGGGUUAAGUCCCGCAACGAGCGCAACCCUUGUCUUUAGUUGCCAGCAUUCAGUUGGGCACUCUAGAGAGACUGCCGUGGUUAACACGGAGGAAGGUGGGGAUGACGUCAAGUCCUCAUGGCCUUUAUAUCCAGGGCGACACACGUGAUACAAUGGAUGACACAAAGGGAAGCGAACUCGCGAGAGGGAGCGAAUCUCAAAAAGUCAUUCUCAGUUCGGAUUGGAGUCUGCAA
This 539-nucleotide ribosomal RNA is filed under the name uncultured bacterium. Its description in RNAcentral is "bacterial SSU rRNA". It matches the Rfam family "Bacterial small subunit ribosomal RNA", at positions 773 to 1310 of the family's 1533-position model. The record is from RNAcentral.